UCCGGCUCUCCCUCACUCCGUGUUGGGUUACAGUGACAAGGCCCCUGUCUGAACCAAGACUUUCAGAAAGAUAAUAUUACAGCAGGUGCAAAUCAGUUUCCUCCUACAAGGACUGAUAUUAGCAGAGAUAUCCCAGAACGAACUGAGUUGACCUAAAUGAGAUUUCUGCAGUAUUUUGUGUUGGCCUAUCAACUAAAGUCCUGAAGGAAAACAUUGAAGUGUGUCACUGUAAAAAGAG
Poeciliopsis prolifica (blackstripe livebearer) is the source of this 238-nucleotide long non-coding RNA. RefSeq lists it as uncharacterized. The record is from RefSeq and is a predicted model, not a curated record. Lineage: Eukaryota; Metazoa; Chordata; Actinopteri; Cyprinodontiformes; Poeciliidae. The transcript has 3 exons.